Long non-coding RNA from Mirounga angustirostris (Northern elephant seal), 432 nucleotides. RefSeq lists it as uncharacterized. The record is from RefSeq and is a predicted model, not a curated record. The transcript is spliced from 3 exons. Lineage: Eukaryota; Metazoa; Chordata; Mammalia; Carnivora; Phocidae.
GAAAUUGGUGAGCAUCGGAUCUACUGCCUCGGACCCCAAGGUGGAUGGAAUUCAUGUUGAGAAUAUCACAAUUACACUAUCAGUCCUGGAUCUUUGAGCUUUUAUAGAUCAUUUGAAUUUGAAGUAUAAAGAAAACCUGGAAUGACCUGAGCCCAGGAACAAGUACAGCCUCCUUUGGCAAGUGCCAGAUUCGGGUUAUCCUAUGAAGAGGCCCAAAUAAUAAGGAACUGAGGGAACCCUCAAGCCCUCAGUCAGUGUGUCAUCCUGUAGGGAACUGAGUCCUACCCACAACCGGGUGUGUGAGCCUGGGAGCAGAUCCUGUCGCAGCUGAACCUUGAGAUGACUGCCACCUUGGACAACAUCAUGGCUGCUGCCUGUCAGAGGACCAAGCUCAGCUGCACCAGAUCCCUCACUCAGAGGAACUGUGAGCCA